CAUAAUAUAAUUUUAUUUUUAAAAUUCUGCAUGCAUGUAUACAAAUAUAUUUUUCUGGGUAAAAAUAAUGCAAGAUGGAGACAGCAGUAGGAAAAGUAUUUUCUCUGGGUGGUGGAAUUUCUUUUUUGGGGGGCAUUCCAGUUUUUAAAAUUAUUUUUAUUUAAAUUCUAGUUAGUUAACAUACAGUGCAGUGCUGGUUUCAGGAGUAGAAUUCAGUGGUUCAUCACUUACCUACCGCACCCAGUGCUCAUCACAACUCGUGUCCUCCCUCAGACCCAUCUGGGGGGUGAGAUUUCUAAUUAUUAAACAUUUUCCUUUUACUUUUAUGAAAUUUCUAUCCUUUCUACAGUGAAGUUGUAUUACUUGGAUAAUUAAAAAAGCAAAGGGGGGAAGCUAGCCAGCUGAUACUCACAUGAAAUAUUAUUAGUAAAGAGAUGGUCCGUCCUAAGAGAGGGGUAGCCAGGAAGACAGAGGAGAUGUGCGUACAGACAACAAAACCUUCGGUGGGGCUUGGGAAGCUUUACUAAAGUGUAAGAAUUGAGAGAAAUCCAAGCCAAAACGUUCUAUAUGGAAAAGGCUGCCAAGGGUGCCAGCGCCCAUCGCAGGCAGAAGGUUUUCCCAAGCACAGCAUCCCAUAAGGUAAAGAACAGAAACAGAAAUAAUCUCAAAGGAAUAUGGAUAUUAAAAUAAACAUAACCUUGGAAGGACUAUGUGAUGCUGCUGCUGGUUUGGGGAAGUGAAGAAGACUUCUGUCCUCUGGGAGUGGUAAGAGACAGGGCGGCAUAGUAAAAAGAUCUCUGUAGCAUUAGACGUUCUUGAAUGUGAGGGCAGGGUCUGCCCCUCAGAUCUAGUAACCUGAUUACUGAGGUUACUAGGUUACUAGGUUACCUCAGACUAAUAACCUGAUUACUGAGAUGUCUCUGAUGCUCAGUUUUCUCAUCUAUAAAAUGGGGAUAAGGUUACUUACUUUGGAUGCUUGGUAUAUUGAAUUAUCCAAAGAAAGUCUGUGAACACAUGUGGAAAAACAUAUCUGUAUGCGUGUAUAAGUAUAUAUAUACACAUAUGUACAUAGUAUCAGGCACAAGUGAACCUGGGGUUGGUUAGGAAAGAAAUGGGGCUGGAUCUUGAGGAAUUAAUUCGGUCUGUACAUGUGGAGCACGAAACACAACAGGCAGAGGGGCACAGAGUACUUGUGUCUACCUUCACAGAGCUGACACACGGCACCUUACAGGGAAGCCAAAAUCUGGAUCAUGGAUCCGCAGGCGGGAGGGAGACAGAUAACAAACCCCUCCCUCCUGCAUUACGAGGGAGGCUGGGAAAAGCCAGAGGAGAAAAAUAACAAACCGUCCACAGAGAAUUAUUCGAUUUUAUUCGAUCAACAAUGAUCACAGCCUCAUUUUUCUUCUCCCGAUCAUCCAAGCCCAUUACUGGGGAGGGCAAUGCAGGCGCGGAGAAUCGAGAAGGUGGGGCUGGGAAGCUGGUAAAAACCCCAAACGUUCCUGUGUUUAUUUCUGCCUGCUUGUCCGGGACCAGUGUUUCACAAAAGGAGUGAGAAAUGAGUAACCACAUGCUGGGCAAGAUGUUCCUGAGAAUGUCAGGAAGCUUGUUUGUCAACCUUAAUUGACAACCGAUGUUUCAGGACAAAGUGUGAUUCUCAUAAUUUAAUGGGACAGCAUUGCUACUUAAUGCCAGAGGGGGCAAGAGCGACUAUAGGGCCAAAGCCUGUAGAGAGGAGAAAUAUGGACAAAAUAAUCCCCUUUUUGUUUUAGGAAAAUGUAAAGUGGUGCCCCAGGGAUUGUUGGCAAAUAUUAUCAUCUUUGAAAGCUACUACUUAACACAAAUUCAGGGAAACCAGAGACUUCUGGGUAGUGUUAAUCACAAGGAAAGAAUGCCCUAUUCUGUGGCUGCAACUUUUUAAUGGAAUACUGGUUGAUUUUGAGUGAAGAAGGCCAGGGGUCAGGGUCAGUUUGGGAGAAUUUCCUGCCUGUUUCUCUCAAGGCGCCUCUGCAAGACGCUUCUUUCUUGGCCGUCUUGAAAAGUUUCCUGGGAUCACCCACAUGUGGGAGCCACCCAUACCUCUAGGGGCAGGGCUCCCCUUUUUCUCUACAUGGCUUAACUGAGGGUAGAGCUCAAUAGCUCUGUGUGGACCUCUGUGUGCUGCGAUGGCUUCUGAAGAUCUUUUCUGCGUCAGUUCCUAAUGAAGAGUUCUGUGGUAGGAAAGGGCAGGGUGGGGACUGGGGCAGAAGGGUGCUUCCAAAGAGAGGGCCAGACUUGGAGGGCUCAACGUUUCUAUUAGAGUCAAGGAAUGAUAAACAGCAAUUUGGGGUUCAAGCAUCGGUGGAGGGCAGGUGUGCAGGGGAUGAAGCUGGGAAGAGUUUGGGACCUCCUAGCGCUUAGGGAGAGGAGCUGGCCCCAGCUAGGAUGGAGAGAGUGCCCCUAGAAGUCCCCUCCUGGAUCUGUACCGGUGCAAAUAUGGUGGAAGGGGGAGCCUGAGGAGAGGGAGGUCAGUUAGGAGAAGGAGAGAGUGAGGGGGAAGGGCAGGACUUGCCAGGGUGGAGCACACAGAGAGGAGGGGGACCCAGCGACAUCAAGAACGUGGAAUGGAUAGGAUUUGGUGAUUUCAGUGCAAAUGAUGAAGGAAGAUGAGGCAAGCCCCAUUGGAUGCCGGUGGUGCUCUUUACCCAACAGGAGCAGGGAACUUCUUAUUUACUUCUCUGAUAUUUUCUCUGUACGCUGAUGCUUAUUUUUGGCUGCUAGUGGAAUCUGAAACGGAGAAAGCUAAAGAUGGCUGACUGGUUGCUGCCCCAUUGCUGACAGGAAGAGAGUAGAUAGAACAGCCACUGCUUUCCCUGUGAGCCAGCUUUGUUCCUGGGGGAAAGACACGUAUCCCAGCACGGAAUCACGAGAUCACCUGGCAGCUGUGGACUGGAGGUGUGGCCAUGUGCCCUUAUGCCAGUCUACGCCAUGUGUGCAGAAGGGAGUUGUGCUGCAUCCUGGCAAGGGCCUUUGAGACCUCUCCUGUGCUAGGCUUUAUGCUUUUCUUCCUACCGGCCAACUGAGUUGAGACCUUGGAAACCAAGUCUGAAAGAUCCUGGUGCUGCCAUGAACACAGGCCUCCCUACUCUCCAGAAUCGCAACCUGGACUGUUAUGCGAGUCAGAAAUAAACAUUUAUUAUGUUGAGUCA
Mustela lutreola (European mink) is the source of this 3185-nucleotide long non-coding RNA. RefSeq lists it as uncharacterized. The transcript has 2 exons. NCBI's taxonomy places the organism in Eukaryota, Metazoa, Chordata, Mammalia, Carnivora, Mustelidae. The record is from RefSeq and is a predicted model, not a curated record.